CAUUGUAAUUACAUACAACACAGGCCCUGCAAAUUCUGCAUGUUCUGCAAUAUUUUGUAUCCACUUUUUAUCUACUGUAACUGCAAUUAUAGGAGUUUUUAUAACAAUGCAAUUGUUAUAAAUAUAUAUAUGUACUGUAUGUGGUAAGGUGAUUAUAUAAGUUAUAUUGUGCAAGGUUAUAACCUCAGAGGACAUUAUCCUUCAUUUUAUACAAAUAUAAACAGACACAGUUCAUUACUCUUGCAGAUCAGCUUUUGAAUCCCCCUCCUCUCGAGUCACCUCUGGGAAAUUGUCAAUAAAACAUCUUUGAUGUCAGUGAAGUGGAAAGUUGUGGAGGUAUUUGUGAUCAAUUGAUUUUACUUCAAUGUUGACUAGUUUUAUGUACAAAUCAUGCCAUAAACGCAUACAUAAUAGCAGAGAAACAUUUGUUCCUUUAUGCUAAUAACCUUGAAUUUCUCUCUCCGUUCAUCUUAGCCGUGACGAUGACAAAGACCUUGAAUGGGCUGCAGCUGCAGUCGUCCAGCUUUACUAAGAUUGAGGAUGUUAUUGACAAUUCAUGAGUUAGAGCUAUCUCCACAGCGCCCAUCUCCACAGCGCCCAGCUGGCUUUAAAGUGCUGCAUCACGGACUAAUUAUGAGGAGAAAAAGACACGAACAAACAGCACUAAUAAAAGAACAGAGGAAGACAAGGCCUUCAAGAUAAGCAGCCCUCAGCCGCAAACACACAAGACUCAGAAACGGCGGAGAAAAAGAAAGAUGAAGUUCCCAGAAAAUGACGCUCAGAUGCUAGUUGAAAUGCCCUAAAAAAGAUGUCUGGUGGUGAAGAAGUUCUGCAAGAGUCUGUAACAACAGAAACCCUCAGUGAUGCCAUAAGAAGACAAGUGGUGAACAUACUGAUGGCUCACAGGAUUAAUAAACAUAGGCACCUUCCUGCUAAACCAAUCAGAGAGGAGAACCUGAGGAUGGUGACAUCUUCCAAAACCACCUGAAGUCUCCAGGAAUCAGUGCAUGGGAUGCAGUCGAGAGACUUGCUGUCUUUUAUAAGUCAUGCUGCAGUUUAGAGGAACAUCUCUGGGACCAACGGGUUCUGCAGCCAUACCUCCUUGCUGUGUGAUGUCAGAAGAGCAAGAUUGACAUCCUCUACAUCAUCGUGGAUAAGUGACUCAUCCCAUGCCAAGCAAACUGCUUUCUUGCAGCAUUUUAUGAGUUAUUCAAAAGACAUUUUGUGUUAUGUCUGUUAUGACUCUGUAUUAAUGAAUUUUUAUACAUUUUUGCAUUGUAAAACAUUGAUGUUGGCAAAAUGAAGGAAUCAACUAGAGUGGGGGACUUUUAGUUGACAAUCACUUUUUCCUUUGUUACCUAACAGCUAUUUACAGAGACCUUUGUUUAUUUUUCAUGCUUUCAGGGUUUUUUAUAGUGAAAGAUAUCUUGUGAAAAUCCCAGAUCUAAACUUUUAUAAGCCUUUUGAUAUUCAAAACUCGUAUGGAAUGCUAAUGAAUGUUUGUUCACUAUACAACAGCUUAAAAUGUUGGAAACACAGCUGCAUAAAUAAAACAAUUGUUUAAACUUGA
Poecilia reticulata (guppy) is the source of this 1570-nucleotide long non-coding RNA. RefSeq lists it as uncharacterized. NCBI's taxonomy places the organism in Eukaryota, Metazoa, Chordata, Actinopteri, Cyprinodontiformes, Poeciliidae. The record is from RefSeq and is a predicted model, not a curated record.